GUGGGUCCUCUAAAUCUCAAUGCAUUUGAUCUAGCAGCAUUAUUUGACCGAAGGCAGAAACAGAAACAAGCUUGAGUUGGUGAUGCAGAAACAGAAACAAGCUUGAGUUAGUGAUGCAGAAAACGAAACAGAAACAUUUGAGCAGGACUUAGAAAAUGCGCUGUGCGAACUGCUGUGCUAGCAGGUAUGAAUUACAUUGAUUAAAAGUUUUUGAGAUCUAUAGCAGCUGAAUUUUGAUUGACAAUGACAAUGCUGUGCUAACUGGUAGGUAUGAUUCAUUUUCUCUUCCAAACGCAUACUUUUGUUGGUCUCUGCUUUGUCCAUGUCUUGAAGCAUAUCUGCUUUGUUAUGCUUCUUCACUUUCUUAUAUCUUAUUUUCAUGUUAUAGUUCAACAUCCAAAGGUUGUCAUUCAAGGUGAUCCAAAGGCUAUCACUAGAGGAUAGAAUGUGACAUACGUGAUGAUUCAUGGUCUAUAUUGCUCACCGACUGGCAUUACUUACAUUGAUAGUGAUUCCCUUGCUAGAAUUGUAGUGCACCAUGCCCAAUGCUAUAUAAUUUUUUGUAUCCACAGGUACCAGAAAAGUCUGCAAAAGAUUGCUUUGAUAGAAUCCAUGCCAAUUUUGCAACUCCGCCUCAACACCAGCCACGUUCAAGAGCCAAGAAAGCUGAUUUAUCUCCAAUAGUCCAUUUUGCAUUCGGAGACAAACCUCUAGAUGGCACAAAGUUGAAAAUCAGAAAGGCAAGGGGAACUCCAGAUUCUUUGUUUACUACAGGUUUUCUGAUGAAGUGCAGUGAGAGGUCUUCCUCAGCUCAUAAGAGGCCUUUGUCUAGGUUUAAAACAAAUGAUGUAGAUCCAAAUCCAGAGGUUCUGAAGCGGAUUAAGAAUGUUGCUUUGCAUGAGAGAUAUAUUGAUCAUCUACAUUGUAUAGAAGCAAGAAGAAGGAGAACAUACCAUGGUAAAGAAAACCAUGUCGUUAGUUGCAUUAAUAUGAAUGAUACCAGGCCACAAUCUAGAGUAAAUAAAAGUUACGAUGGUUACUUUAAUGACUGAAGCCCAAUCAGUUAUCAGCCAUUUUCAGGACAGGCAGGUGAAUGCAUUGGAUUAUGAUGAUGAUAGUAGUUCUGCAGGGAACUGUAGUUUUGAUUUGGAUGACGACGCAUGAGCAAAUCUUCUUUCACUUUACAAGUUCGGCUGUGAAGAUGAAUUCAUCAAUAUUCAACGCUCAACAUCUGGUUGAAGUACAAAUCCUUGGAAAAACAAAAAACUUCUGGGCUUCAGUUCCUAUAGCUUGAAAAUGUAUUUUGUUUUUGCUAGUAGAAGACUAAUGAAUUUGGAUCACCUCUUUUGUCUUUUUAGAAAUGGAUUAGAAGGUUA
Zingiber officinale is the source of this 1376-nucleotide long non-coding RNA. RefSeq lists it as uncharacterized. The transcript has 3 exons. The record is from RefSeq and is a predicted model, not a curated record. NCBI's taxonomy places the organism in Eukaryota, Viridiplantae, Streptophyta, Magnoliopsida, Zingiberales, Zingiberaceae.